RNAcentral lists this ribosomal RNA (253 nucleotides) under uncultured bacterium. Its description in RNAcentral is "partial 16S ribosomal RNA". It matches the Rfam family "Bacterial small subunit ribosomal RNA", at positions 524 to 776 of the family's 1533-position model. The record is from RNAcentral.
UACAGAGGUCUCAAGCGUUGUUCGGAUUCAUUGGGCGUAAAGGGUGCGUAGGCGGCGCGGUAAGUCGGGUGUGAAAUCUCGGAGCUUAACUCCGAAACUGCAUUCGAUACUACCGUGCUUGAGGACUGGAGAGGAGACUGGAAUUUACGGUGUAGCGGUGAAAUGCGUAGAUAUCGUAAGGAAGACCAGUGGCGAAGGCGGGUCUCUAGACAGUUCCUGACGCUGAGGCACGAAGGCCAGGGGAGCAAACGGG